GGUCCCAUCGUCUAGUGGCCUAGGACGCCUGGUUUUCAUCCAGGAAAUCACGGGUUCGACUCCCGUUGGGACCGCCA
This 77-nucleotide transfer RNA is filed under the name bacterium. RNAcentral's name for it is "tRNA-Glu". It matches the Rfam family "tRNA". From Rfam's summary of the family: Transfer RNA (tRNA) molecules are approximately 80 nucleotides in length. Their secondary structure includes four short double-helical elements and three loops (D, anti-codon, and T loops). The record is from RNAcentral.